Molecule: ribosomal RNA, 404 nt
Filed under: uncultured bacterium
Lineage: Bacteria
Description: bacterial SSU rRNA
Rfam family: Bacterial small subunit ribosomal RNA
Source: RNAcentral
UGGGGAAUUUUGGACAAUGGGCGAAAGCCUGAUCCAGCCAUUCCGCGUGAAUGAUGAAGGUCUUAGGAUUGUAAAAUUCUUUCACCGGGGACGAUAAUGACGGUACCCGGAGAAGAAGCCCCGGCUAACUUCGUGCCAGCAGCCGCGGUAAUACGAAGGGGGCUAGCGUUGCUCGGAAUUACUGGGCGUAAAGGGAGCGUAGGCGGAUAGUUCAGUCAGAGGUGAAAGCCCAGGGCUCGACCUUGGAAUUGCCUUUGAUACUGGCUGUCUUGAGUAUGGGAGAGGUUAGCGGAACUCCGAGUGUAGAGGUGAAGUUCGUAGAUAUUCGGAAGAACACCAGUGGCGAAGGCGGCUAACUGGCCCAUUACUGACGCUGAGGCUCGAAAGCGUGGGGAGCAGACAGG